RNAcentral lists this ribosomal RNA (253 nucleotides) under uncultured bacterium. RNAcentral describes it as "partial 16S ribosomal RNA". It matches the Rfam family "Bacterial small subunit ribosomal RNA", at positions 524 to 776 of the family's 1533-position model. The record is from RNAcentral.
UACGAAGGGGGCUAGCGUUGCUCGGAAUCACUGGGCGUAAAGCGCACGUAGGCGGAUUGCUAAGUCAGGGGUGAAAUCCUGGAGCUCAACUCCGGAACUGCCUUUGAUACUGGCGAUCUCGAGUCCGGGAGAGGUGAGUGGAACUGCGAGUGUAGAGGUGAAAUUCGUAGAUAUUCGCAAGAACACCAGUGGCGAAGGCGGCUCACUGGCCCGGUACUGACGCUGAGGUGCGAAAGCGUGGGGAGCAAACAGG